GAUGAACGCUGGCGGCGUGCCUAAUACAUGCAAGUCGAGCGAACGGACGAGAAGCUUGCUUCUCUGAUGUUAGCGGCGGACGGGUGAGUAACACGUGGAUAACCUACCUAUAAGACUGGGAUAACUUCGGGAAACCGGAGCUAAUACCGGAUAAUAUUUUGAACCGCAUGGUUCAAAAGUGAAAGACGGUCUUGCUGUCACUUAUAGAUGGAUCCGCGCUGCAUUAGCUAGUUGGUAAGGUAACGGCUUACCAAGGCAACGAUGCAUAGCCGACCUGAGAGGGGGAUCGGCCACACGGGAACUGAGACACGGUCCAGACUCCUACGGGAGGCAGCAGUAGGGUAUCUUCCGCAAUGGGCGAAAGCCUGACGGAGCAACGCCGCGUGAGUGAUGACGGUCUUCGGAUCGUAAAACUCUGUUAUUAGGGAAGAACAGAUGUGUAAGUAACUGUGCACAUCUUGACGGUACCUAAUCAGAAAGCCACGGCUAACUACGUG
RNAcentral lists this ribosomal RNA (497 nucleotides) under uncultured bacterium. RNAcentral describes it as "partial 16S ribosomal RNA". It matches the Rfam family "Bacterial small subunit ribosomal RNA", at positions 28 to 507 of the family's 1533-position model. The record is from RNAcentral.